GAUCCUGGCUCAGGAUGAACGCUAGCGACAGGCUUAACACAUGCAAGUCGAGGGGCAGCGGGGAGUAGCAAUACUUCGCCGGCGACCGGCGCACGGGUGAGUAACACGUGUGCAACCAACCCCGUACCGGGAGAUAACCCGCGGAAACGUGGACUAACAUCCCAUGAUACUCGAGGGCCGCAUGGCUCUCGAUUUAAAAUUCCGGUGGUACGGGACGGGCACGCGCGACAUUAGGUAGUUGGCGGGGUAACGGCCCACCAAGCCG
RNAcentral lists this ribosomal RNA (265 nucleotides) under uncultured bacterium. RNAcentral describes it as "partial 16S ribosomal RNA". It matches the Rfam family "Bacterial small subunit ribosomal RNA", at positions 15 to 275 of the family's 1533-position model. The record is from RNAcentral.